This is a non-coding RNA of Pelobates cultripes (western spadefoot toad), 5853 nucleotides long. NCBI's taxonomy places the organism in Eukaryota, Metazoa, Chordata, Amphibia, Anura, Pelobatidae. The record is from the annotation of a GenBank genome assembly.
GCAGUACAUACACCCCAAACCUCUACUAUUCAUUCCCAGACAUGCUAGCCGAGUACCAUAGAGUGGAAAGGCAGUGUGCAGAGCGGGUGUGUGAGUGAGACGUGUUGGUUUCAUUGAAUAGAGCUGGAGGCAGUUCUGUUCAUACAGUUCAGCUCAUCAGUCUGGGGGAGGACAUCCUGUACAUCACAAAGGCUCCAGCAGCACCCCCACACCGGCCACCGGGUCCAGGAAACCCCCGCCACUGAAUCGGGUACGGGAACACGUAAGUUUGUUUUAUAUUCUCUUCGUCUCAUUCAUUAGCUCAGUGAUGUAUUGGUAUUUAGACUGUAAUAGGAGCAUAUUGGGUAUCAGACUGGUCCUGGCUAGCACACCAUUCCUCUGAUUGCCAUCUGCUCUUGGAGAACACUGAUUAGCCAUCUGUUAAUAUUUUAUUUUCUAUAAUAUCUGGCAUAAUUGUCCACUGAAUUAAAGAAUGCAGGGUAAUUUCCUUUAACCCCUUAAGGACAAAACUUCUGGAAUAAAAGGGAAUCAUGACGUCAUGUGUCCUUAAGAGGUUAAAACCCACUCCUUUGUUAAACUCUUUCCUCCUUUUUUUAUUUUUUUAUUUUUUUUAAAUUUUAUUAUUCCUUUCAUUUUAUCUUAUUUUGUUCUCAAGUCUUGCCAGGAAACAGGUCCAGUCUCUCUUUACAUACAAUCAAGCUAACUAAAUCAAAUUAACUCUUUUGAACGACUAAAACUCCCAUCAGCCUUUAGAGAGGGUGAUGAGAAUUGUUGAACAAAAGGAAACUAAUGUGAUCAUUUGAAAUGCCCUUAUUAGGUAUAAUGCCAUUACUCUGAAUCAGUGUAGUAAUACAUGUGUGUGGGUUGGUUUUCCACGAUUGUGAGUGGGAAUAGAAGGGAUGUAUAUGUUUCAGUGCUACCCUAAGAUUUAAUGAAAACUAGUCUUUUAAACAAAACCUAGUGGAAUAUAAAAGACAUGACUCUCAAAUAUUGUAAAGCGCUACGGAAUCUGUUGGCGCUAUAUAAAUGAUGAUAAUAAUAAUAAUAAUUGAUUUGUUUGUUUAAAUGUCCCUAGAACUCUCAUGUAUUUUAGUUAUAGUGUACUCUCUCUAUCACCCAGAGGGGACCCCAUAACCUCAUCCACUGUGUGUAGUGUCCAGGGGUUAAAUUUAAGACCCUCUGUUAUCCAGAGUUUCACCCAUUUUAAAAUCAUAUGCACAAAUUAAUGUAUUUGUAAGCAAGUAUGUGCCUGCACAGCCUUACCCUGAUAUACAGUAUAUGUCAUCGAUGGAGGUAUAGUGUUUCAAAGGGCUGCUUAGUUAAUAAUUCUAGUGACAGAAGAAAGGCUAGUCCUUAUAGAACCAACAUUGUCAGCGAAUACCAAGCUGCCAGCACAAGGCUCCCAAAAGUUGAGUAAAGAAACUGGCACAGAGGAUAGAGCUCCAGUAUAUCAGAGUCACAGGUUUGAUUGCCAAACUUACACUAUAACUCUGAGUCAACACCCACCACACUCCAGAAUGUAUUUGGAAGCUAGCAAAAAAAAAAAAAACAUUUUAUUUUCCAUGGUUAAAGGAACUCAACAAACACUAUAACCACUACCUUAGUGUCCUGGCAUUUGGCUUUUGACAAUUCAUCUAGGUACUUCCGAGCAGCUGCAGAACUUAUUGCAAUAGAAUCUGGUUAGGGCUACUUAACGAAGCAAGGCCACACUCUGCAAAUAAGCACCGUCUUGGUUUUUGCCAUACUUGGCUGUAUAGACCCAUGCGGCUUCUCCUCCUUGAACGGUUUAACCCAAAAGUUGCCUCCAAUUUAUCUUUCCCAAGCCAGUUAGUGAGUGGGGAGUCACUGAUUGGCAGAGAGUGUCAGCUGAAAAUUCAGAAGCAGGGUGCCACCUAGGGUGAGUUGAUACCGACGUUACAGGCAACUUUGAGGUUAAAGUGUUCGAGAAUAGUUUAACCCCUUGAGUCUUCAGGGACCUCCGGGCACCAUAAUAACUUAAUUUAGAUGUACGUUGCUUUGGUGCCUGGAGUGUCCUUGUAAUAAAAAUAAUUCAGAUAAUUAGCUGCUUAUGCGAAAUCUGACUUUCAGCUCAUUCCUUUAAAAACAAAACAAAACCUUCUUAUGUGACUGUUUCUUGGCAUAUACCUGGAUGGUAACAUUUGUUUUGAAUCUUAGAAAGAUUAACACCCCAUAAAAGGAACUCCAAACACCAUAACCACUACACCCUAAGGUAGUGGCUAUGGUACAAGGUGUGCCCUGGCACCCCUUCCAUAGUAAGCAGUCAAACAGUUUUAGAAUGGUAUAAUCUCUCAGAACAGGAGAUUAUGGCUCUCCUGGCUACUGCUAGGAGGUGAGGAGUGUUGCUUGGUGAGACCCAGUUAAGAAGUCAAAACAUUCUAAAACGGAAUUAAGAUUUCCUAGAACUGUAGGAAAGCUUAAUCUGUCUCAUACAAUGAUUGCGAUUCCAUGCAAGUUUCAUGAAGCAGCAGUAGUCUAAAUCGCUAGUAUUUUCACGCUACUAUUUUAGCACAGAAUCCUUCGACACUAUGUGUUUCACAUUCUUAAAGGAACACUAUGGGCACCAUAACAACGUUUAUCGAAAUUAAGUUGUUAUGGUGCUAGGAGAUCCCUGGAGGGAUUAAAGUUGUCAUCUCAUCACUGUUUCUCACUAUCCCCGUCCACAUCCGCUUUCAGAAUAUUAGCUAGUGGAAGCCCCAGACAGAAAGAGCUUGAUAAAAUACCUCCUGGCACCAUAAAAACUUAACUUCAAUGAAGUGGUUAUAGUGCCCUGACUGUUUCUUUAAGACCAUUCAUGGUUGGAUUUGUGUGAACACUGUGUGGCAGUAGUUCUUAUUGUAUAAGUCAGAGAAUUUCACAUAAAAUUUAAAUUGUUCCAUUUAAUGUUAACUAAAUAUUUGUAACUAAAAAUACUUGUCCAAAUAAGAUAAUGUUUCUGCCCACCCUGCAGAUUUCCUUUUUGAAACUAGGAUUGGCUGUCAGUGCAACCAUCACUUCCUCUAAUUAAUUUAUUUUCACCCUAGUUUUUUCAAAAUGUAUUAGAAGAAUAGGAGACAUGAAAUCAGGAAACUAAAUGUAACAAUAAAAAAAGAAAAGCAUUCAAAAUGCUAGAAAGCAAAUGUGUAUUUUUGUGUGUGUGUGUGUGUGUGUGUGUGUGUGUGUGUGUAUAUAUAUAUUUUUUUUUAUUUUUUUUUUGUGUGUGUAAUAUACACAUCUAAAAAGGAAACAAAAUAAAGAAUACACUAUGAAAUCCGUUUCUCAGAUCCUUUUUAAAAAAAUUUAUUUAAUUUUUUUUUGGUGGACAAAGUGUUAAUUGUGACUGCCUCGGUCACGCCAUAUUUUGUUCUCCACCUAAUAUAUUUAUGGUUUAUUGUAAACCUUGGGGAAUGAUGUUGAUAUGAUUUGUCCUCAUUGUGAACUUCCUUGCUCACUAGUUAUCAGUCUGAUAAUGUCCUCAAACAUCAUCAUGAUUCCUACAGGUCACUUUCACGUUGCCUUGAUCAGCAGAUACAUGUUUAUGUGCAUAGAAUUAUUAUUUCCAAAAUUAAACAUUCUGUAAAUUUGCUAACAUUUUAAUUUUGUGCAUCUGUAGAUAAUCUGAUUACAUGAACAAAUAAUGUAAAAUUAAAUUUCUGCUGUUUUUUUUAUGUUGGAGCAAUAAACAUACUAUCACAUGCUAGUGAUAAAAAAGCUUGUGAUAGCAACUCAUUGACUCCUGCCUGUGCCGUGUUACAUGCUUCUCAUUUAUUAAUGGCAUUGUGUGAUGUACGGGCACUACAAUAUAGGGGGUGAUGAUGGUUUGGUUCUGAGAUGUCGGUGGGUGAUCUAUCAAUGUUGUGAAGAAGAGAUGUGCUACUGCUACAUUGAUGUCUUGGUACUGGGAUGUGAGCUUAAAGGACAAGUAUGUUUUUGGGUCCCCCUCACCCUCUAGGUACCCCUCCGACCGGGCUGAGGGGUGAGGAAGGGAUUAAUUUCUUACCUUUUUCCAGGGCCGGGCUCCUUUGGCGCUGGGGAAUCUCCUCCUUCUUCUGCCAUCAUCGGCUGAAUGCGCAUGCGCGGCAAGAGCCGCACGCAUUCAGCCAGUCUCAUUGGAAAGCAUUCUCAAUGCUUUCCUAAGGACGCUGGCGUCUUCUUACUGUGAAAAUCACAGUGAAAAGCGUGGCAGCACCUCUAGCGGCUGUCAAUGAGACCGCCACUAGAGGCUGGAUUAACCCAUUAAGCUGAAGUGUUCUGGGUGCCUAUAGUGGUCCUUUAAUGAAAUAUAAGGAGGAUGUGCUAGUAAUAUGGGGAGUGAUUUAUUGUUACUGAGAUAGAAGUGCUAGAGUUUGGCAGGGGGAUUGUAUUUAGGAGCUGUGAAAAUGGUUUGACACAGAGAGGAGAAAUUGCCUGCUUCUUGAGUUUUGCUCCACUAAGCUAAUCAAACCAGGAAGUAGCAGGGCCUGUUGUCUGAUUGUCAGCCAGAUGGUGUGACAAGGCUAAUUUAUAAAAGUGCUGCUUUCUAUUGAAAUCUGGACUUUGUAAACUUAAGAAAAAAGGCAUACUCAUCACACAUAGCACUUCAGCAAAUCUGUAGUGUCCCUUGACCUACGAUAGUGAGCUGUAACUUUUUUAUAAUGCAUAGAGUGCUCCUUUAAAGGUACAGUAUAGUCACCAGAACCACUACCGCUUAACGCAGUGGUUCUGGUGUCUGAAAAGCCUGCAGGGACAGGCUACAAUGUAAAUGUAAUGUAACUUUUCAGAGAAAAGGCAGCAUUUACAUUGCUGCCUAGUAACACCUCUAGUGGCUGUCUAAGUGUUGCUGAGCAGCAAUGUAAACAUUGCCUUUUCUAUGAAAAGGCAUAAUUUACAUUAUAGCCUGUCCCUGCAUUGUUUUCAGACACCAGAAUCCCUGCACACCUCCAGUGACCGUCACUCAGACAGCCUCUAGGGUGCUUCCUAUCUCAGUGCUACGUUUAGCGUCUCCACACUUUGCAUGGAGACGCUGAUCGCUUCUCAUAGAUAUGCAUUGAUUCAGAGGCUGAUUGGCGCAGCGUUUUGCCGUGCAUGUGCAAUAGCUUCCCAGUGCUUUCCUAUGGGAGGCAGGGCCACCCGCUGCCAGACCUGCAAGGGAGUCAAACUACCCUUUCACUGCAAUCUGAGGGGCCAAUUACCUAAACAGCAUACAUGUUUGUAUUCCAAACACUAUAGCGUUCCUUUAAUAAUUAAUUUUUUGUGUUGUACUAUUUUGCUAAAGACUUUCCUUUCUCCAAGGAUAAACCGAUAAGAUAUUCUGCAGUGCUUGUUAAAUUGAGUAUUGGAUAUCAAGUAAUGCGACUAGUUUUAAUCUCCAGGUUACCGCUGGUUUCCAGUACGCACGGCGUGUUUGUGUACUGAUUUAUAUGGCCUGGGAAGGCUGUUUGCCAAAAAACAUGUCAACCUUUGUUUAACUUUGUGUUUGUUUUAAAUGCCACAUAAUCACAUCCUGUAUCCAACACACCACCAAAAACAUUACCUGUCUAUACCAGCAGACUCUCACAAGAAUCACUAAAUACUAUCUGCCAGUUCAGUCCAUAAUUGUGCCUUUUAUUUGUAUUUUCUUCCUUAGAAUCUUUCUAAUAUAAUUAUAUUUUUCCAGUUGACAGGAAAUAGAAAGGGGCAACCAUAUUUUUUUAUUUUUUUUUGUUAAUCGCCAUUGUCAUUCUACUGUUUAUCUGUGAUUUCUAAAAUAGUGCCAUCAGAAUGACGGAGGAAGAGGGUUAUAUUCUUCGGAGCCGCCGUUUGAUCUCCAAGCCACCCGUGACAUCAGAGAAAGAAGAUAUUGUACGAGAGAGAGCAUUUAAAGGAGCAAGUAAUGGU